CCUACGGGAGGCAGCAGUGAGGAAUAUUGGUCAAUGGGCGGGAGCCUGAACCAGCCAAGUCGCGUGAGGGAAGACGGUCCUAUGGAUUGUAAACCUCUUUAGGCGGGGAGCAAUGCCGGGCAUGUGUGCCCGGAGGGAGAGUACCCGCAGAAUAAGCAUCGGCUAACUCCGUGCCAGCAGCCGCGGUAAUACGGAGGAUGCGAGCGUUAUCCGGAUUGAUUGGGUUUAAAGGGUGCGUAGGCGGAUUUUUAAGUCAGCGGUAAAAUGUCCGGGCUCAACCCGGGCCGGCCGUUGAAACUGGGGAUCUUGAGUGGGCGAGAAGUAUGCGGAAUGCGUGGUGUAGCGGUGAAAUGCAUAGAUAUCACGCAGAACUCCGAUUGCGAAGGCAGCAUACCGGCGCCCGACUGACGCUGAGGCACGAAAGCGUGGGGAUCGAACAGGAUUAGAUACCCCGGUAGUC
This 460-nucleotide ribosomal RNA is filed under the name uncultured bacterium. Its description in RNAcentral is "partial 16S ribosomal RNA". It matches the Rfam family "Bacterial small subunit ribosomal RNA", at positions 338 to 795 of the family's 1533-position model. The record is from RNAcentral.